Molecule: long non-coding RNA, 735 nt
Filed under: Eucalyptus grandis
Lineage: Eukaryota; Viridiplantae; Streptophyta; Magnoliopsida; Myrtales; Myrtaceae
Description: long non-coding RNA (EGRA_LNC001983)
Source: RNAcentral
GAAUCUGAAGGUUUGUCACUUUAAACUUUUAAUUUUCAUUUUCCAUAUAUAUUAUGUCUUAUGUAUUGUCAGUAUUUAGUUCAAAACAUUUUGAAUUUCAUGGCAUAAGAAUAUUAAAAAAUUGAAAUUUCACAAACAAGAUGGAUGCACGUGUGAAAUAAACUAGUGUAGAUCUUGUCCAACCACAAAACUGAAGUUGAUAAGUGGAGAGAAACUACACGUAUAUAAACAGCAUAUAAAUCUCAUAAUUAAGUGCCAUGGGAUAUUUCAACAUGCUGAUAUACUAAUUCAAAUAUAAUCUCCAGACCAUUUUUAAAAUCAAAAUAAUAUCUUGAAUGAUAAUAAAGAUAGCUCAAGCGAAAAACAUUUUUUCGCUCACAAAGAGUAAAGGAAGGUGAAAAAGGUUCGUUGAGUAAACCACCGCCUCUUCGCUUGCAUCUGCAUUUUAUUGGAACUUUGAGCAAGCACAAUGGUUACACUUGACCUAAAAACAAGGAGUGCAAAAGCCUUAAUUUGCAAUUUUUGCAGUCACGCCGCAAGCGGUGGUCAAUGAAGACUAUCGAUUAUGGUUUCAAGCCGCAGUGAAAGGUGAUUGGAAAGAAAUCGAGAUGAUCCUCAAUAAAAACCGCACAGCAAUGACAACCAGCAUUAUGAAAAUAGAAAGUGAUGACUUAACUAUGCUCGAUGUUGCGAUUAUGGCCGGACAAGAUCAGUUGGUCGAGAAGUUGGUCAAGC